Long non-coding RNA from Dicentrarchus labrax (European seabass), 1960 nucleotides. RefSeq lists it as uncharacterized. The transcript has 2 exons. The record is from RefSeq and is a predicted model, not a curated record. NCBI's taxonomy places the organism in Eukaryota, Metazoa, Chordata, Actinopteri, Moronidae.
UGUGUGUGUGUGUGUGUUAGAAGAAUAUAUGUAUGUAAGAGAAGAAUAUAUGUGUGUGUGAGAAGAAUAUGUGUGUGUGUGAGAAGAAUAUAUGUGUGUGUGUGUGUGUGUGAGACAAAGUAUACAUGCAACGGAAGGACAAUAGUGGAAACGGAAGGCAGGCCAUGGUAACUUAACUGGAAAUUACUAAAUCCCGAAUGCUCGUUUGCUAAUUUGGCUACAGCCAAUGUGUAGGUUACAUGUUCGCAAAACCCGUAAAUGUCCGUAGUAAAAACAAUAAAGGCAAUUAAACAAUUUUGAAAUGACAGAAAACAGACAAAAAAAUGUAUGCUGGAUUUAUUUUUAUUUUUGACGCCAAUGUCCGUCGGAAAAACCAGAACGUGUGAAACACUUCGUGUCGGACUGUUUUCACAACCUCGGUCAGUACAACACUGGACUGACUGAAAGACUGUUCCUGAAAGAGGGAUUGUACCAACUGUCUGUGGAGAGACGGCAGAGGAAGUAACUGUGGAGCUGUCACUUGAGCAGCCAUACAUAAGGGAGACACAAUGCAACUGCAAAGCUGGCUUGGGACAGUGCAACCAUCUCACUGGGCUGCUCUAUACUCUGGCUCACUUUGUCAAGAUGGGCUACGCGUCUGUUCCCCCAAUGACUAGCAAGACGUCGUUGCCUCAAGCCUGGCACAUUCCAUCAAGGGCCCUGGGUGUCAGUCCAAGAACGGUGAGCUCUGUAAGUGUUUCGAAGCUGAAACCAGCAGUGACCAACGCACCCCCGCCAAAGAGGCAACGCUCUUCUGAAGUUGUCUGAUGUCGAAUCUGUACUGCCCUGUGUCACUGCCGCUUCCAUCAAAUGCCUUUGCAGAGAGUCUACACCGAAACCUGAGUGCAAUACAGAGCAAGAGUCAGAUGUUCAAGCUGCUGGAGGAGAACAGAAAGCGGUCUUUGGAGACCUUCCAAAGGGAUCUGUGCUUACCACACAGCACAGUCUACCAGGGCUGGUGAUGAUCCCCCGUUUCCUCUACCAUCACAGCCAUGCUCAUUCAGUACAGUUCUGGAUGACACUGAGGCGUGCUUCUAUGGUGGCCUGACGGUCACUCAGGCUGUUGCAAUACAGCUGGAGAUCGACACUAGGGGACAGAGCCAUAGUAAGACCUGGCAUAAAGUCCGAACCAACUGUCUUACCGCCUCUUCCUUCAAGAGGAUUUGUUCAAGGGUGGCAGACUUCAAGGUUUUAGCUGACAAUCUGAAAAAAAAGACAGUGCAGACAAAGGUGAUGAAGCGAGGCCUGGAGCUGGAGCCUGGAGCUGGAGCCUGUUGCUGCGGCCGACUAUCAAGACCUCACCGGUUUUGAGAUCUUCCCCUGUGGUUUUGUCAUCAACCACCACGCCCCACACCUAGGUGCCUCACCUGACCGAAAGGUGAUUGACCGCAGUGCCUCACUAACGCACGACCACACAUGAGUACUAUUUUCAAGUGAUGGGGCAGAUGGGCACCACUGGGUUGAAGUGGUGUGACUUUCUUGUGAAAUGCAAAGAUGACCAUCACUUGGAGCGGGUGCACUUCGAACCAAAGGAGUAGGAGAACAUGAAAUGUAAAUUGGACACAUUCUUUUUCACCCACUUUCUGCCUGCUGUGUGUAACAACAUGUAAUAUGUAAUACAUCACUGAAUGUAUAUAGUAGUUCUAUAGUUCUCUUUUGUUAAUGUUUUUUAAUUGUUUGUUCCUAAUGUAAUUUCUAAUGUUCUUUUCCGGUACGUUUUUCCUUACUUACAAUAUACAAGCAUUUGUAUUCCCCCAUACCAAUUUUUAUGUACAAUGUUACCUUUACAAACCUAGACCAGUGUGCCUGUCAAUGUUUUUGAAUGACCUCUUUCUGAUAUUCUGACCAGUUCUGGUUCCUGUAUACUAAGUUGUAAAGUUAUGAAGGACAUCAUCCAUGUGUAAUAAAAUUGUACUUUAUU